This 376-nucleotide ribosomal RNA is filed under the name uncultured bacterium. Its description in RNAcentral is "bacterial SSU rRNA". It matches the Rfam family "Bacterial small subunit ribosomal RNA", at positions 524 to 898 of the family's 1533-position model. The record is from RNAcentral.
UACGAAGGUGGCAAGCGUUACUCGGAAUUACUAGGCGUAAAGGGCAGGUAGGUGGUUUGGUAAGUCUGUUGUGUAAGCUCCCGGCUUAACUGGGAGAGGUCAACAGAAACUACCAGACUUGAGUAUAGGAGAGGUUACUGGAAUUCCCGGUGUAGCGGUGAAAUGCGCAGAGAUCGGGAGGAACACCAAUGGCGAAAGCAGGUAACUGGACUAUUACUGACACUCAGCUGCGAAAGCUAGGGGAGCAAACAGGAUUAGAUACCCUGGUAGUCCUAGCUGUAAACGAUGCACAUUAGGCGUGAGGGGUAUCGACCCCCUUCGUGCCGACGCAAACGCAUUAAAUGUGCCGCCUGGGGAGUACGGCCGCAAGGUUGAA